UGUUGGAUUUCGUGUGGACUCGGUGCUGAUUUCUUCCAGCAAAACAUGUAGAACAACUCAGUUGCUGGUUUUGUUGUCAAUCUCUUCUUCCACCAUAACAAGUAAUACAACUCAGCAAUCAAAGCUAAGAACAGAACAACAAAAACUAUGCUCAAACCAAGCCCUACACAGCUCAAAGAUUUCAUUUUACAUCAC
This is a long non-coding RNA of Hibiscus syriacus, 195 nucleotides long. RefSeq lists it as uncharacterized. The record is from RefSeq and is a predicted model, not a curated record. NCBI's taxonomy places the organism in Eukaryota, Viridiplantae, Streptophyta, Magnoliopsida, Malvales, Malvaceae. The transcript is spliced from 2 exons.